AUUGAACGCUGGCGGCAUGCUUUACACAUGCAAGUCGAACGGCAGCGCGUGCUUCUUCCUGGCGGCGGGUGGCCAACGGGUGAGUAAUUCAUCGGAACGUGCCCUGUCUUUGGGGAUAGCUCGGCGAAAGCCGGAUUAAUACCGCAUACGAUCUAAAGUUGAAACACGAGGAUCUUCGGACCUCGCUCCAUUGGCGCGGCCGAUGGCAGAUUACCUAGUGGGUGGGGUAAAGGCCUACCAAGGCGACGAUCUGUAGCUGGUCUGAGAGGAGGACCACCAAAACUGGGCCUGAGACACGGCCCAGACUCCUACGGGAGGCACCAGUGGGGAAUUUUGGACAAUGGCCGAAAGCCUGCCCCAGCAAUGCGGGGUGGGUGAUGAAGGCCUUCGGGUGGUAAAGCCCUUUUGGAGGGAAGGAAAAGGACUGUGCCAAUACCCCGGUCCGAUGACGGUACCCGCACAAUAAGCAACGGCUAACUACGUG
This 484-nucleotide ribosomal RNA is filed under the name uncultured bacterium. RNAcentral's name for it is "partial 16S ribosomal RNA". It matches the Rfam family "Bacterial small subunit ribosomal RNA", at positions 30 to 507 of the family's 1533-position model. The record is from RNAcentral.